RNAcentral lists this ribosomal RNA (378 nucleotides) under uncultured organism. RNAcentral describes it as "partial 16S ribosomal RNA". It matches the Rfam family "Bacterial small subunit ribosomal RNA", at positions 527 to 898 of the family's 1533-position model. The record is from RNAcentral.
GAAGGGCCCGAGCGUUGCGCGGAAUCAUUGGGCUUAAAGCGUACGUAGGCGGACGAGCAGGCAACCUUGUGAAAGCCCUCGGGCUCAACCGAGGAAUUGCUUGGUGAACCGCUCGUCUUGAGGCAAGUAGGGGCUGUCGGAACGAUAGGUGGAGCGGUGAAAUGCGUUGAUAUCUAUCGGAACGCCAAAGGUGAAGACAGGCAGCUGGGCUUGUUCUGACGCUGAGGUACGAAAGCGUGGGGAGCGAACGGGAUUAGAUACCCCGGUAGUCCACGCCGUAAACGAUGUGCACUAGAUCGAGGGGGGUUCUGACGCCAUUCUCGGUCGAAGCAAAAGUGUUAAGUGCACCGCCUGGGGAGUACGGUCGCAAAGGCUAAA